AAAUUGAAGAGUUUGAUCAUGGCUCAGAUUGAACGCUGGCGGCAGGCCUAACACAUGCAAGUCGAACGGUAACAGGAAGCAGCUUGCUGCUUCGCUGACGAGUGGCGGACGGGUGAGUAAUGUCUGGGAAACUGCCUGAUGGAGGGGGAUAACUACUGGAAACGGUGGCUAAUACCGCAUAACGUCGCAGGACCAAAGAGGGGGACCUUCGGGCCUCUUGCCAUCAGAUGUGCCCAGAUGGGAUUAGCUUGUUGGUGAGGUAACGGCUCACCAAGGCGACGAUC
RNAcentral lists this ribosomal RNA (284 nucleotides) under Salmonella enterica subsp. arizonae. RNAcentral describes it as "partial 16S ribosomal RNA". It matches the Rfam family "Bacterial small subunit ribosomal RNA", at positions 1 to 281 of the family's 1533-position model. The record is from RNAcentral. Lineage: Bacteria; Pseudomonadati; Pseudomonadota; Gammaproteobacteria; Enterobacterales; Enterobacteriaceae.